CCUACGGGCGGCUGCAGUGGGGAAUAUUGCACAAUGGGCGCAAGCCUGAUGCAGCCAUGCCGCGUGUGUGAAGAAGGCCUUCGGGUUGUAAAGCACUUUCAGCGGGGAGGAAGGCGGUGAGGUUAAUAACCUCAUCGAUUGACGUUACCCGCAGAAGAAGCACCGGCUAACUCCGUGCCAGCAGCCGCGGUAAUACGGAGGGUGCAAGCGUUAAUCGGAAUUACUGGGCGUAAAGCGCACGCAGGCGGUCUGUCAAGUCGGAUGUGAAAUCCCCGGGCUCAACCUGGGAACUGCAUUCGAAACUGGCAGGCUAGAGUCUUGUAGAGGGGGGUAGAAUUCCAGGUGUAGCGGUGCAAUGCGUAGAGAUCUGGAGGAAUACCGGUGGCGAAGGCGGCCCCCUGGACAAAGACUGACGCUCAGGUGCGAAAGCGUGGGGAGCAAACAGGAUUAGAUACCCGUGUAGUC
Molecule: ribosomal RNA, 465 nt
Filed under: uncultured Klebsiella sp.
Lineage: Bacteria; Pseudomonadati; Pseudomonadota; Gammaproteobacteria; Enterobacterales; Enterobacteriaceae
Description: bacterial SSU rRNA
Rfam family: Bacterial small subunit ribosomal RNA
Source: RNAcentral